UACAGAGGUGGCAAGCGUUGUUCGGAAUUACUGGGCGUAAAGGGCGCGUAGGCGGCCUUCUCAGUCAGACGUGAAAUCCCCCGGCUUAACCUGGGAACUGCGUCUGAUACUGGAGGGCUUGAGUAUGGGAGAGGGAUGUAGAAUUCCAGGUGUAGCGGUGAAAUGCGUAGAUAUCUGGAGGAAUACCGGUGGCGAAGGCGGCAUCCUGGACCAUUACUGACGCUGAGGCGCGAAAGCUAGGGGAGCAAACAGG
This 253-nucleotide ribosomal RNA is filed under the name uncultured bacterium. RNAcentral describes it as "partial 16S ribosomal RNA". It matches the Rfam family "Bacterial small subunit ribosomal RNA", at positions 524 to 776 of the family's 1533-position model. The record is from RNAcentral.